This 507-nucleotide long non-coding RNA is filed under the name Ananas comosus (pineapple). RNAcentral's name for it is "long non-coding RNA (ACOM_LNC018783)". Lineage: Eukaryota; Viridiplantae; Streptophyta; Magnoliopsida; Poales; Bromeliaceae. The record is from RNAcentral.
CGGGUAAAUUCACUACAACAAAAUUAGAUCAUAGGGACACAUAUUUGAGACAUUUUUGUGUAAGUAUCCAAAUUAUGCCAAAAUUUUUAAAAAAAAUCUACUAAUGCCUAAAUAUAAAGUCCAAUCCAAUUAAAAAUAAAAUGUUACUCUACUCAACCCACCCCAUCGAGCUCAUUCGACCCGAUUACAAACAGAAAAGAAAAAUUGAUUAUCAUUUCUCCUUCUCCCCUCACUCAAUGGACUGAAAUCCUAAACGAAGAUCCUUUCCUCUCGUCCUCCUCCGCCAUCGCAGCUAACGAGAUAGAGUUCCGACGGCUGCUAAAUACUUAAAGAAAUAUUGGUAAAUUAGAAGUAUUUUUUAGGUUAUAGAGACACUCUUUAACUGUCACUAUAUACUUAGUGACCCCACAUAUAGCAACACUUUUUAAAAGUGUCGGUAAUUUAGCCGGCAAUAUUUUUCUUGAUCUGUACCGAUAUUUAAAAGUGUCACUAUAAAUCGUUUUUGUU